RNAcentral lists this ribosomal RNA (447 nucleotides) under uncultured archaeon. RNAcentral describes it as "bacterial SSU rRNA". It matches the Rfam family "Archaeal small subunit ribosomal RNA", at positions 315 to 759 of the family's 1478-position model. The record is from RNAcentral.
CCCAGGCCCUACGGGGUGCAGCAGGCGCGAAAACUUUACACUGCGGGAAACCGCGAUAAGGGGACCCCGAGUGCCAGCACCUAGUGCUGGCUGUCCAGCUGUCCAAAUAACAGUUGUUAGCAAGGGCCGGGCAAGACCGGUGCCAGCCGCCGCGGUAACACCGGCGGCCCGAGUGGUAGCCGUUAUUAUUGGGUUUAAAGGGUCCGUAGCCGGCCUAUUAAGUCUCUUGGGAAAUCUGGCGGCUUAACCGUCAGGCGUCCAAGAGAUACUGGUAGGCUUGGGACCGGCAGAGGUGGGAGGUACUCCAGGGCGUAGGGGUGAAAUGCUGUAAUCCUCGGGGGACCACCAGUGGCGAAGGCGUCCGACUAGAGCGGGCCCGACGGUGAGGGACNAUAGCCAGGGGGAGCGCAACGGGAUUAGAUACCCCGGUAGUCCUGGCCGUAAACG